RNAcentral lists this ribosomal RNA (427 nucleotides) under Bacillus cereus. RNAcentral's name for it is "bacterial SSU rRNA". It matches the Rfam family "Bacterial small subunit ribosomal RNA", at positions 1011 to 1440 of the family's 1533-position model. Lineage: Bacteria; Bacillati; Bacillota; Bacilli; Caryophanales; Bacillaceae. The record is from RNAcentral.
GCUUCUCCUUCGGGAGCAGAGUGACAGGUGGUGCAUGGUUGUUGUCAGCUCGUGUCGUGAGAUGUUGGGUUAAGUCCCGCAACGAGCGCAACCCUUGAUCUUAGUUGCCAUCAUUUAGUUGGGCACUUUAAGGUGACUGCCGGUGACAAACCGGAGGAAGGUGGGGAUGACGUCAAAUCAUCAUGCCCCUUAUGACCUGGGCUACACACGUGCUACAAUGGACGGUACAAAGAGCUGCAAGACCGCGAGGUGGAGCUAAUCUCAUAAAACCGUUCUCAGUUCGGAUUGUAGGCUGCAACUUGCCUACAUGAAGCGGAAUCGCUUGUAAUCGCGGAUCAGCAUGCCGCGGUGAAUACGUUCCCGGGCCUUGUACACACCGCCCGUCACACCACGAGAGUUUGUAACACCCGAAGUCGGUGGGGUAACC